GUGCAUAAUGAAAGGAGAGAUGGUUGGCAGUCCCCUGCGCAAGGUUGGAUUAGGCUGUCUUGGCCCUCUCCUAGAAGGCAAUGAGCCCCUCUGGGCACCUUUUUCGUCUUCCACACAGUUAGUAAGGUUACAUCCUCUAGCUUUUUU
Molecule: non-coding RNA, 147 nt
Filed under: Schistocephalus solidus
Lineage: Eukaryota; Metazoa; Platyhelminthes; Cestoda; Diphyllobothriidea; Diphyllobothriidae
Source: RNAcentral